UUCGCCCUUAGAGUUUGAUCCUGGCUCAGGACGAACGCUGGCGGCGCGCCUAACACAUGCAAGUCGAACGGAGCUGAGAGGAGCUUGCUUUUCUUAGCUUAGUGGCGAACGGGUGAGUAACGCGUGAGUAACCUGCCCUGGAGUGGGGGACAACAGUUGGAAACGACUGCUAAUACCGCAUAAGCCCACGGCCCGGCAUCGGGCUGAGGGAAAAGGAUUUAUUCGCUUCAGGAUGGACUCGCGUCCAAUUAGCUAGUUGGUGAGGUAACGGCCCACCAAGGCGACGAUUGGUAGCCGGACUGAGAGGUUGAACGGCCACAUUGGGACUGAGACACGGCUCAGACUCCUACGGGAGGCAGCAGUGGGGGAUAUUGCACAAUGGGGGAAACCCUGAUGCAGCGACGCCGCGUGGAGGAAGAAGGUUUUCGGAUUGUAAACUCCUGUCGUUAGGGACGAUAAUGACGGUACCUAACAAGAAAGCACCGGCUAACUACGUGCCAGCAGCCGCGGUAAAACGUAGGGUGCAAGCGUUGUCCGGAAUUACUGGGUGUAAAGGGAGCGCAGGCGGACCGGCAAGUUGGAAGUGAAAACUAUGGGCUCAACCCAUAAAUUGCUUUCAAAACUGCUGGCCUUGAGUAGUGCAGAGGUAGGUGGAAUUCCCGGUGUAGCGGUGGAAUGCGUAGAUAUCGGGAGGAACACCAGUGGCGAAGGCGACCUACUGGGCACCAACUGACGCUGAGGCUCGAAAGCAUGGGUAGCAAAACCAGGGUUUAGAUACCCUGGUAGUCCAUGCCGUAAACGAUGAUUACUAGGUGUUGGAGGAUUGACCCCUUCAGUGCCGCAGUUAACACAAUAAGUAAUCCACCUGGGGAGUACGACCGCAAGGUUGAAACUCAAAGGAAUUGACGGGGGCCCGCACAAGCAGUGGAGUAUGUGGUUUAAUUCGAAGCAACGCGAAGAACCUUACCAGGUCUUGACAUCCGAUGCAUAGCGCAGAGAUGCGUGAAGUCCUUCGGGACAUCGAGACAGGUGGUGCAUGGUUGUCGUCAGCUCGUGUCGUGAGAUGUUGGGUUAAGUCCCGCAACGAGCGCAACCCUUAUUGCCAGUUACUACGCAAGAGGACUCUGGCGAGACUGCCGUUGACAAAACGGAGGAAGGUGGGGAUGACGUCAAAUCAUCAUGCCCUUUAUGACCUGGGCUACACACGUGCUACAAUGGCGUUUAACAAAGAGAAGCAAGACCGCGAGGUGGAGCAAAACUCAAAAACAACGUCUCAGUUCAGAUUGCAGGCUGCAACUCGCCUGCAUGAAGUCGGAAUUGCUAGUAAUCGCGGAUCAGCAUGCCGCGGUGAAUACGUUCCCGGGCCUUGCACACACCGCCCGUCA
Molecule: ribosomal RNA, 1385 nt
Filed under: uncultured bacterium
Lineage: Bacteria
Description: 16S ribosomal RNA
Rfam family: Bacterial small subunit ribosomal RNA
Source: RNAcentral